This 497-nucleotide ribosomal RNA is filed under the name uncultured bacterium. Its description in RNAcentral is "partial 16S ribosomal RNA". It matches the Rfam family "Bacterial small subunit ribosomal RNA", at positions 28 to 507 of the family's 1533-position model. The record is from RNAcentral.
GAUGAACGCUGGCGGCGUGCCUAAUACAUGCAAGUCGAGCGAACAGAUGAGGAGCUUGCUCCUCUGACGUUAGCGGCGGACGGGUGAGUAACACGUGGAUAACCUACCUAUAAGACUGGGAUAACUUCGGGAAACCGGAGCUAAUACCGGAUAAUAUAUUGAACCGCAUGGUUCAAUAGUGAAAGACGGUUUUGCUGUCACUUAUAGAUAGAUCCGCGCCGCAUUAGCUAGUUGGUAAGGUAACGGCUUACCAAGGCAACGAUGCGUAGCCGACCUGAGAGGGUGAUCGGCCACACGGGAACUGAGACACGGUCCAGACUCCUACGGGAGGCGGCAGUAGGGAAUCUUCCGCAAUGGGCGAAAGCCUGACGGAGCAACGCCGCGUGAGUGAUGAAGGUCUUCGGAUCGUAAAACUCUGUUAUUAGGGAAGAACAAAUGUGUAAGUAACUAUGCACGUCUUGACGGUACCUAAUCAGAAAGCCACGGCUAACUACGUG